RNAcentral lists this long non-coding RNA (589 nucleotides) under Brassica napus (rape). RNAcentral describes it as "long non-coding RNA (BNAP_LNC027147)". Lineage: Eukaryota; Viridiplantae; Streptophyta; Magnoliopsida; Brassicales; Brassicaceae. The record is from RNAcentral.
GGAAGUGGACUAGCUAUUUUAUUUCAGUUAGUAUGGUUUUAAUGGUCGAUAAAUUGAAUCUCAUAGUCCAAUGUUUCCGGAAAUUGAGCUUAAUAGGGUACUCAAAAAAAGUAGUAAUUCUAUUUAAAAUUUCACAUGAUAGUCGUUAUCUAGUACACCGGUUUUGUUACACUGCUAAUAAUAAAAGCAGGUUACAUAAUUACAUAAUACAUAGGAGACAAUCAGAUAUUACAAUAUAUAUAUCCUAGAAGUAAAAUUUCCAGGAUGAAACUAGAUGGUGGUGAUCAUGUCCACUUGCUGAAUUUCAUGUGCUCUAGUUUGAUGAAAUUCUCUGCUUCUUUGUCAAUGUCCUCAUACUUUGCCACCCUCUCACUCUUCACCUUCCUUUUAUGAUGAGAUGGAACCUUCAUCACGUUACUCAAGUCUUCGCAUUCAAUAACUUGGCUCGGCGUCUCAGCCAUAGAGACCCAGUGAAGGUGAUGGUGAUAGCGAUGGUGAUGAUGACUGUUAUGUUCAAGGAAAGUACUAAAUACCAUUUUUCUAAUAAAAGGUCUUGUUUGCUCUGUACUUGCUGUUACAUAUACAUUUG